AGUUUGAUCCUGGCUCAGAAUCAACGCUGGCGGCGUGCCUCACUACAUGCAAGUCGAACGGGCUUCGGCCCGUGGCGAACGGGUGAGUAACACGUGGGUACCUACCUUCGAGUGGGGGAUAACGUCCCGAAAGGGGCGCUAAUACCGCAUAACGUCCUGCGAGACCAAAGCUCUGGCGUUUGAAGAGGGGCCCGCGUCCGAUUAGCUAGUUGGUGAGGUAACGGCUCACCAAGGCGACGAUCGGUAGCCGGCCUGAGAGGGCGGACGGCCACACUGGGACUGAGACACGGCCCAGACUCCUACGGGAGGCAGCAGUGGGGAAUYGUUCGCAAUGGGCGCAAGCCUGACGACGCAACACCGCGUGGGGGAUGAAGCCCUUUCCGGGUGUAAACCCCUGUUGUGAGGGACGAAAUUUUUGACGGUACCUCACGAGAAAGCACCGGCUAAUUCUGUGCCAGCAGCCGCGGUAAGACAGAAGGUGCAAGCGUUACUCGGAAUUACUGGGCGUAAAGCGUCUGCAGGUGUCCCAUCAAGUCCGGUGUAAAAGCACGGAGCCCAACUCCGUGUACGUGCUGGAAACUGACGGGAUCGAGAAACUGAAGAGGCAUCUGGAAUGUCGUGUGUAGGRGUAAAAUCCGUAGAUCCACGAUGGAACGCCAAAAGCGAAGGCAGGAUGCUACUAGUUUUCUGACACUCAGAGACGAWAGCGUGGGGAGCAAAGGGGAUUAGAUACCCCCGUAGUCCACGCCCUAAACGAUGCGGGCUCGGUGUGGGAACGUUUCAAUUCGUUCCCGUGCCUUAGCUAACGCGGUAAGCCCGCCGCCUGGGAAGUACGGCCGCAAGGCUAAAACUCAAAGGAAUAGACGGGGACCCACACAAGCGGUGGAGCAUGGGGUUCAAUUCGAUGGUAAACGAAGAACCUCACCCAGGCUUGACAUCUCGGGAAUCUGGCCGAAAGGUCGGAGUGCCGCAAGGAACCCGAAGACAGGCGAUGCACGGUCGUCGUCAGCUCGUGCCUUGAGGUGUACUGUUAAGUCAGCGAACGAGCGCAACCCUCAUCCUAUGUUGUACUUUCUUAGGAGACUGCCGCCUCCAAGGCGGAGGAAGGUGGGGAUGACGUCAGAUCAGCGUGUCCCUUAUGCCUGGGGCUACACCCAUGCUACAAUGGGCGGUACAAUGGGCAGCAAACUCGCAAGAGUAAGCAAAUCCCACCAAAACCGCUCUCAGUUCGGAUUGCCGGCUGCAACUCGCCGGCAUGAAGUUGGAAUCGCUAGUAACCGUGGGUCAGCGAUACCACGGUGAAUAUGUUCCUGGGUCUUGUACUCACCGCCCGUCAAGUCAUGAAAGGUAGGAGCACCCGAAGCACCCUUACCAGCAAUGGGGGGUACCUUCUGAGUGCACUACUGAUUGGGACUAAGUCGUAACAAGGUAGCCG
Molecule: ribosomal RNA, 1435 nt
Filed under: uncultured bacterium
Lineage: Bacteria
Description: 16S ribosomal RNA
Rfam family: Bacterial small subunit ribosomal RNA
Source: RNAcentral